GUGCUUGCUUUGGCAGUACAUAUACUAAAAUUGGAACAAUAUGGAGAUUAACAUGGCCCCUGCACAAGGAUGACAUGCAAAUUUGUGAAGCAUUCCACAUUUUA
RNAcentral lists this small nuclear RNA (104 nucleotides) under Sciurus vulgaris (Eurasian red squirrel). The record is from RNAcentral. Lineage: Eukaryota; Metazoa; Chordata; Mammalia; Rodentia; Sciuridae.